Chlorocebus sabaeus (green monkey) is the source of this 287-nucleotide non-coding RNA. Lineage: Eukaryota; Metazoa; Chordata; Mammalia; Primates; Cercopithecidae. The record is from Rfam.
GCCUGGUGUGGUGGCGGGCGCCUAUAGUCCCAGCUGCUUGGGAGGCUGAGGCAGGAGAAUGGCAUGAACCCGGGAGGCGGAGCUUGCAGUGAGCCGAGAUGGUACCACUGCACUCCAGCCUGGGCGACAGAGGGAGACUCCGUCUCAAAAAAAAAAAAAAAAAAUUAAUUGAUUAAUUUUUUUUUUGAGAUGGGGUCUCGCUCUGUCGCUCAGGCUGGAGUGCAGUGGCGCCAUCUCGGCUCACUGCAAGCUCCGCCUCCCGGGUUCAUGCCAUUCUCCUGCCUCAG